This 251-nucleotide ribosomal RNA is filed under the name uncultured prokaryote. RNAcentral's name for it is "partial 16S rRNA". It matches the Rfam family "Bacterial small subunit ribosomal RNA", at positions 525 to 775 of the family's 1533-position model. The record is from RNAcentral.
ACGUAGGGUGCAAGCGUUGUCCGGAAUUACUGGGCGUAAAGGGCGCGUAGGCGGGAACUUAAGUCAGAUGUGAAAACUCCAGGCUCAACUUGGAGACUGCAUUUGAAACUGAGUUUCUUGAGGGCAGGAGAGGAAAGUGGAAUUCCUAGUGUAGCGGUGAAAUGCGUAGAUAUUAGGAGGAACACCAGUGGCGAAGGCGACUUUCUGGACUGUACCUGACGCUGAGGCGCGAAAGCGUGGGGAGCAAACGG